Non-coding RNA from Potamilus streckersoni, 77 nucleotides. NCBI's taxonomy places the organism in Eukaryota, Metazoa, Mollusca, Bivalvia, Unionida, Unionidae. The record is from the annotation of a GenBank genome assembly.
GACCGCUCGGUGGCCUAGUGAUCAAAAGCGUCCGCCUAAGAUGCGAGAGGUCGCGGGUUCUAACCCCGGCCGAGUCA